UACGUAGGGGGCUAGCGUUGUCCGGAAUUAUUGGGCGUAAAGAGCGCGUAGGCGGUCCGAUAAGUCGGCUGUGAAAGUCAGGGGCUCAACCCUUGAAAGCCGGCCGAUACUGUCGGACUAGAGUCCGGAAGAGGCGAGUGGAAUUCCCGGUGUAGCGGUGAAAUGCGCAGAUAUCAGGAGGAACACCUAUUGCGAAGGCAGCUCGCUGGGACGUAACUGACGCUGAGACGCGAAAGCGUGGGGAGCAAACAGG
Molecule: ribosomal RNA, 253 nt
Filed under: uncultured bacterium
Lineage: Bacteria
Description: partial 16S ribosomal RNA
Rfam family: Bacterial small subunit ribosomal RNA
Source: RNAcentral